CCUACGGGUGGCUGCAGUGAGGAAUAUUGGUCAAUGGACGCAAGUCUGAACCAGCCAAGUAGCGUGAAGGAUGACUGCCCUCUGGGUUGUAAACUUCUUUUAUAUGGGAAUAAAAUGUUCCACGUGUGGGAUUUUGUAUGUACCCUAUGAAUAAGGAUCGGCUAACUCCGUGCCAGCAGCCGCGGUAAUACGGAGGAUCCGCGCGUUAUCCGGGUUUAUUGGGUGUAAAGGGAGCGUAGGUGGCUUGUUAAGUCAGUUGUGAAAGUUUGCGGCUCAACCGUAGAAUUGCAGUUGAUACUGGCAGUCUUGAGUACAGUAGAGGUGGGCGGAAUUCGUGGUGUAGCGGUGAAAUGCUUAGAUAUCACGAAGAACUCCGAUGGCGAAGGCAGUUGACUGGACUGCAACUGACACUGAGGCUCGAAAGUGUGGGUAUCAAACAGGAUUAGAUACCCCGGUAGUC
Molecule: ribosomal RNA, 460 nt
Filed under: uncultured bacterium
Lineage: Bacteria
Description: partial 16S ribosomal RNA
Rfam family: Bacterial small subunit ribosomal RNA
Source: RNAcentral